Molecule: unclassified non-coding RNA, 2167 nt
Filed under: Hevea brasiliensis (rubber tree)
Lineage: Eukaryota; Viridiplantae; Streptophyta; Magnoliopsida; Malpighiales; Euphorbiaceae
Source: RNAcentral
GGCCUACGAAUUGGGUUUACUGGGUGAGUUCCAGAUUUCCAGUGAAACCGGGAAAAUGUUGCGCAACGGCAUCAUUCCUCAGUUUCCCUUCCGUGUCCUCUUCUUCCUUUUCCACAUCAAGCUUAGCAAUCUCCACAAAAGGCUUCAUACUCUCUGCGCUUAGUUCCCUCCAUAAAACCCCAAAACCAAAACCCUUCAAAAAUUUUCAAUCUACAGGUCUUAAUUGGCCGCCUAUUUCUUAAUCAUCGCUACCAAGAUGAUACUUAGAAUCCGUAGCAGAGAUGGCGUCGAGCGCGUCUCCAUCGACAGCCCCAACAUUACCGUUUCCCAGCUCAAAAGUCUAAUUCAAAAGCAGCUUCAAAUCCCAAUCCAUAACCAAACCCUAUCUACAAAUCAAAACAUACUGUUGGUUAAAUCCCCUUUGGAUCUUCUCAAAUUCACCGAUAUGUCUGACCCCAAUACCCUUAUUUCUUCCCUAAACAUUGCCCAUGGCUCUAUUGUCUUCUUAGCCUAUGAGGGUGAGAGAACCAUUACAGGACCCACCAUUCAUCCCGCUGGGUCCUUCGGCCGCAAAAUGACCAUGGACGACCUAAUUGCCAGACAAAUGCGAAUUACCAGACAAGAAAAUCCUCAUUGUGAAUGCGUGUCAUUCGAUCAGGAUUGUGCCAAUGCCUUCCAACUGUAUGUUAACGAGAAGCUUGCUUUUGCUGUGAAAAGAGGUGGAUUUAUGUAUGGAACUGUGUCCGAGGAAGGAAAAGUGGAGGUGAAUUUUAUAUAUGAGCCGCCCCAGCAGACUACAGAGGAAAUUCUGAUGCUUUUAAGGGAUCCCCAGGAAGAGAAUUUGGUGGAUGCUAUAGCAGCAGGUUUAGGGAUGAGGAAAGUGGGGUUUAUAUUUACACAGACGAUAACGCAGGACAAGAAAGAUUACACUUUGUCCAACAGAGAGGUUCUGCAGGCUGCAGAACUGCAUGCAGAGAGUGAGUUGAAGGAGUGGGUGACAGCAGUGGUGAAACUGGAAGUGAAUGAAGAUGGUGGAGCCGAUGUGCAUUUUGAGGCGUUUCAGAUGAGUGAUACUUGUAUUAAACUGUUUAAGGAAAAGUGGUUUGAGACAGAGAUUGGGGAGGAUAUGGAUCCUAAGUUGUCAAAAAUGAAUAAGGAUGUUGUUGUUGGAGGAAAGGAUGUUAGGGAGGUUGAUAAUGAUUUUUUCUUGGUCGUGGUUAAGAUAUUCGAUCACAUGGGUCCUCUAUCAUCAUCCUUUCCCAUUGAGAACAGGAUCGGCCAAGUCACAGUGAGGGCAUUGAAGAAUCAUCUGGACCGUACAAAGAAUCUUCCAUUUGUGAAAAGAAUUUCUGAUUUUCAUCUGCUGCUCUUUGUGGCCAGGUUUCUAGAUCUCAAUGAUGUUCCUGCAUUGGCAGAGUGUGUGCAAAAACAGACAACAGUCCCUGAAGGUUACCAGCUCAUAAUUGUUUCCAUGGCAAAUACUUCUUGAAUUGCAAAGAGGCAUGUUAUCCCCUUGUGUUAGUCUCAUAAAAUUGCAAAAAUUGCAAAUUUGGAUCACAUAAUUGGGGUCCUGGGGCAAUCUGUAUUGAUUUCUGCUGCUACUUGGUGGCAAAUAGGGGAUUUGUGACCCAGCGACCUAAAAUUACACACAGUGUCUAUAUGUACGGCCUUGCCUUUGUUGGGAUCUGAUGGUGCUGUGUUUGGGUUUGGAAUGCUGUUGUGUUUGGGCUUGAAUUGCGGUGGAGAAAAAUAUCUCAUGAAUUUGUCAGCUUUUAGAUUCCACUAUUCCUGGGAUAUGUGUGUAUGGGGCCAUUGGUUUUCACUCGUCUCUUAUAGAAUUUUUAAUCAAACGUGGGAGAGAGAGUAUUUUUAAAAUUGUUCAUAUAAAAAUUGAUUCGAUAACAUCUCUCAUAAUGAAUAAAAAUUUUAUUGUCUGGUUCGUGUAGGUUGAUUAUAAAAAUGAGAAAAGUAAAAUAAAAUUUACGAGAAAUAUUUAUGUAGCGUUCACAGGGAUUCGAUCUCAAUAAGUAGUCAUAUUUAUAAACGUGAAAAAAGAUAAGGAAAUGAGUCUUGCAAUACGAGUGUCGGCCACAUCCAUUCCCAGACGGACAACGUUACACAAAGCCGGUGGCUGCAGGUAGAGUGCUACCGCGACGCUCAAAACCCU